Molecule: ribosomal RNA, 677 nt
Filed under: uncultured archaeon
Lineage: Archaea
Description: bacterial SSU rRNA
Rfam family: Archaeal small subunit ribosomal RNA
Source: RNAcentral
CCCUAUGGGGUGCAGCAGGCGCGAAACCUCUACAAUGCACGAAAGUGUGAUAGGGGGACUCUCAGUGCUCAAGCUCUGCUUGGGCUUUUGCCAAGAGUAAGUAUCUUGGCGAAUAAGUGGUGGGCAAGACCGGUGCCAGCCGCCGCGGUAAUACCGGCGCCACAAGUGGCAAUCACGUUUAUUGGGCCUAAAGCGUCCGUAGCCGGUUCUGUAAAUCCUUUGUGAAAUCGUGCAGCUUAACUGUACGGCGUGCAGGGGACACUGCAGGACUAGAGACCGGGAGGAGCUGAAAGUAUGCUAGGGGGACCGGUAAAAUGGGAUAAUCCCUAGUAGACUACCGAUGGCGAAGGCAUUCAGCCAGAACGGUUCUGACGGUGAGGGACGAAAGCCAGGGGAGCGAUCCGGAUUAGAUACCCGAGUAGUCCUGGCCGUAAACGCUGCGAGCAAGGUGUUGCGUAUCUUACAUGGAUGCGCAGUGUCGAAACGAAGGUGUUAAGCUCGCCGCCUGGGAAGUACGGUCGCAAGGCUGAAACUUUAAGGAAUUGGCGGGGGAGCACUACAAGGGGUGCGGCGUGCUGUUUAAUCUAAUUCAACGCAGAAAACCUCACUAGAAGCGACGGCAGGAUGAAGGUCAAGUUGAAGACUCUACCUGACGAGCCGAGAAGAAGUGCAUGGCC